AUGGCUGGUGGUUUUAGUCAGGAUAGGGAGGGUGAUGGUGAAGGAUACCAAGAGAUGAUCAGAGAUGUGGAGAGGGAUUCCUGCAGUCAGACAUUGAUCGAGUCUGAUUCAGUCAUCAUCAAACCUGAUCAGUCUCAUAAACUGACCUGCACAGCAUCUGGAUUUAACUUUGGUAGCUCUUGGAUGGCUUGGAUCAGACAGGCUACUGGAAAAGGACUGGAAUUUGUUGCAACUAUCGAGUAUGAUAGUGAUAGGAAGUAUUACUCCAGUGCAGUUAAAGGCCGCUUCACCAUCUCCAGAGACAACAGUAAGCAGCAGGUGUAUCUGCACAUGAACAGCGUGAGGACAGAAGACACAGCUGUGUAUUACUGCGCCCGACACACACAGUGA
This is a non-coding RNA of Pangasianodon hypophthalmus (striped catfish), 390 nucleotides long. The record is from the annotation of a RefSeq genome assembly. Lineage: Eukaryota; Metazoa; Chordata; Actinopteri; Siluriformes; Pangasiidae.